GUCCACGCCGUAAACGAUGAUUACUCGUUGUUGGCGAUAUGACAGUCAGCGACCAAGCGAAAGCGAUAAGUAAUCCACCUGGGGAGUACGCCGGCAACGGUGAAACUCAAAGGAAUUGACGGGGGCCCGCACAAGCGGAGGAGCAUGUGGUUUAAUUCGAUGAUACGCGAGGAACCUUACCUGGGCUUGAAAGUUAGUGACCGAUUCUGAAAGGAGUCUUUCCGCAAGGACACGAAACUAGGUGCUGCAUGGCUGUCGU
Molecule: ribosomal RNA, 259 nt
Filed under: uncultured bacterium
Lineage: Bacteria
Description: partial 16S ribosomal RNA
Rfam family: Bacterial small subunit ribosomal RNA
Source: RNAcentral